CAGCCAUCAACCUUCAAUAGCGCCAGUCGGACUUCAACAGCACCAACCGAACUUCAACAACGCCAACCAGACUUCCACAGGAUCCUCCAGACUCCUCCAGCGGACGAACUUCCACAACGCCUUUCGGACUCUUCUAUCGGCCGACCUUCAGCCGGAUUUCUUAUGCAAUCGGACCUCUCCAGCAGAUAAUUAUUCAGAUAAGCUUCUACAUCAUACAAAUUCCAGAUGGAUUUCUCC
RNAcentral lists this long non-coding RNA (237 nucleotides) under Elaeis guineensis (African oil palm). RNAcentral's name for it is "long non-coding RNA (EGUI_LNC052542)". Lineage: Eukaryota; Viridiplantae; Streptophyta; Magnoliopsida; Arecales; Arecaceae. The record is from RNAcentral.